Long non-coding RNA from Benincasa hispida (wax gourd), 710 nucleotides. RefSeq lists it as uncharacterized. Lineage: Eukaryota; Viridiplantae; Streptophyta; Magnoliopsida; Cucurbitales; Cucurbitaceae. The record is from RefSeq and is a predicted model, not a curated record.
AAGGCUCUUCCUUCACACCUCAAGUAUGUCUUCCUUGGAGAUGAAAAUGCUUUUCCAGUUAUUAUUUCUAAAGAACUCACAUCUUCUCAAGAAUGCACUUUAUUGGAAACAUUGAAAUUCUACGAAAGGUAAUCGGUGGACUCUGGAUGAUAUUAAAGGGAUAAGUCCUUCCCUUUGUAUGCACAGGAUUAUUCUAGAAGAUGGAGCCAAGGCUACCGUCCAACCCCAAAGGAGACUUAAUCCUACAAUGAAGGAGAUAGUUCAUAAGGAAAUCAUCAAACUUCAUGAAGCCGGAAUAAUAUAGCCAGUUCCAAAUAGUCAAUGGGUAAGUACGAUACACUUGGUGCCCAAGAAAAUCGACAUGACCAUAGUGAAAAAUGAUCAAGGUGAAAUGAUCCCAAUGAAAGUACAAAACAGUUGAAGAAUGUGCAUAGAUUUCAGAAAGCUAAACGAGGAUUUUACUAAAUACCAAUAGUAUAGGAAGAUCAAGAAAAGACAACUUUUACAUACACUUACGAUACAUAUGCUUUUAGGAGGAUGGCAUUUGGGCUAUGCAAUGUCCCAGAAUUUAACUUAACCAUCAAAGACAAGAAAGGAUCAGAGAAUUCAGUAGCCGACCACCUAAGCCGAAUUGUGCAAGAAGAGGAGUCAAUUCCAAUUAGAGAAGACUUGCCUGAUGAACAUCUUUUCAGGGUAACUACUUUCCUACU